RNAcentral lists this transfer RNA (68 nucleotides) under Camelus bactrianus (Bactrian camel). It matches the Rfam family "tRNA". Rfam says of the family: Transfer RNA (tRNA) molecules are approximately 80 nucleotides in length. Their secondary structure includes four short double-helical elements and three loops (D, anti-codon, and T loops). The record is from Rfam by way of RNAcentral. Lineage: Eukaryota; Metazoa; Chordata; Mammalia; Artiodactyla; Camelidae. RNAcentral also lists the same sequence under 1 other name.
GAGGGUAUAGCUCAGUGGUAGAAUAUAUGCCUUGCACAAGGUCCUGGGUUCAAUCCCCAGUACUUCCA